UUAGGGGUGCCAGAAGAUAAGAUGGGGUUGAUUUAGGAUUAAUAUAUGGGUGUUGUGCCCCCCUUGUA
RNAcentral lists this transfer RNA (68 nucleotides) under Ogmocotyle ailuri. Its description in RNAcentral is "tRNA-Leu". The record is from RNAcentral. Lineage: Eukaryota; Metazoa; Platyhelminthes; Trematoda; Plagiorchiida; Notocotylidae.